CAUUAAAGAGUUCUAUAACUCCCAAACCCAUGUGAACAUACCUAACGUUGCCUCGGCAGGUCGCACCUACCUUGUAGCACCCUACCCUGUAGGGCCUACCCGGGAGGUGCGGGCAAGCCUGCCGGCGGCCCACCAAACUCUGUUUGAUAUUGAAUUCUGAACCUAUAACUAAAUAAGUUAAAACUUUCAACAACGGAUCUCUUGGUUCUGGCAUCGAUGAAGAACGCAGCGAAAUGCGAUAAGUAAUGUGAAUUGCAGAAUUCAGUGAAUCAUCGAAUCUUUGAACGCAUAUUGCGCCCAUUAGUAUUCUAGUGGGCAGGACCGUUCGAGCGUCAUUUCAACCCUUAAGCCUUCGUUGCUUAGUGUUGGGAGCCUACGGCAACGUAGCUCCUCAAAGUUAGUGGCGGAGUUGGUUCACACUCUAGACGUAGUAAUUUUUUAUCUCGCCUAUUAGUUGGACUAAUCCCCUGCCGUAAAACCCCUAAUUUAUCAAGGUUGACCUCGAAUCGGUUCAGACAAACUCGCUAAAUUGAAGCAUCUUAGUCAGCGAAGGAAAAGAAACCAACAGGGAUUGCCCUAGUAACGGCGAGUGAAGCGGCAACAGCUCAAAUUUGAAAUCUGGCCCUCGGGUC
This 632-nucleotide ribosomal RNA is filed under the name fungal endophyte. RNAcentral's name for it is "eukaryotic LSU rRNA". The stretch from base 182 to 335 matches the Rfam family "5.8S ribosomal RNA". The record is from RNAcentral. Lineage: Eukaryota; Fungi.